RNAcentral lists this ribosomal RNA (773 nucleotides) under uncultured Neocallimastigales. Its description in RNAcentral is "partial large subunit ribosomal RNA". It matches the Rfam family "Eukaryotic large subunit ribosomal RNA", at positions 24 to 643 of the family's 3401-position model. The record is from RNAcentral. Lineage: Eukaryota; Fungi; Neocallimastigomycota; Neocallimastigomycetes; Neocallimastigales.
UAUGUGAUCGUCUCUCGCAUAUCAAUAAGCGGAGGAAAAGAAACUAACAAGGAUUCCCCUAGUAACGGCGAGUGAAGCGGGAAGAGCUCAAAUUUGAAAUCUUAAAGGGUUUCCCUUUACGAAUUGUAGUUUAAAGAAGUGUUUUCUGUUGAGGUUUUGGUAAAAGUUCUUUGGAAUAGGACAUCAUAGAGGGUGAGAAUCCCGUAUUUGACCUUUCACUUUCAACUUUGUGAUACACUUUCAAAGAGUCGGAUUGUUUGGGAACGCAGUCCAAAAUGGGUGGUAAAUUUCAUCUAAAGCUAAAUAUUGGCGAGAGACCGAUAGCGAACAAGUACCGUGAGGGAAAGAUGAAAAGAACUUUGAAAAGAGAGUUAAACAGUACGUGAAAUUGUCAAAAGGGAAGCGUUUGACACCAGUGUUGUUUUUCUGAAAAUCAAUUAAAGAACUGUUUAUGCUAAGUUGUUUAGACUUUAUCAGCUAUCUGUUUAGUUUUGAGCUUUUCUUUAAUGCACUUUUCAGUUAACAAGUCAACAUCAAUUUCUUUUGCUGUAAAAAGCUUGAGGAAGGUGGCUUGAGAUUCGUCUUAAGUGUUUAUAGCCUCUUGCCUAUGCAGUCGGAGAGAUUGAGGUCUGCAGCGUAGAUCCUUCGGGGCUAAAUGCAUUUGUGCUAAGUUAUAGCAUUUUAUAGACAACUUGUUGACUAUGAUUUGUCUUGUAGCUUACUCGCUUAUGUUAUUUUACCUACGCUUAGGAUGUUGACUGAUAUGUAGUCGU